AUUAAUAACGGAGGUCGGGAACCUCAAAUAAUUAAU
RNAcentral lists this non-coding RNA (36 nucleotides) under unclassified sequences. RNAcentral's name for it is "S16-Flavobacteria ribosomal protein leader". It matches the Rfam family "S16-Flavobacteria ribosomal protein leader". The record is from RNAcentral.